CAAGAUGCAAUCUAGACGGAAGCAAUGUAACUGUGCUAUUAACUUUUAUCCGUCCUUGGGUAAUACGACUGGAUGUUACAAAUAGGUGGAUGUAUAUAGUUGAAGAGAGAAAAGGAAUAUUGAAGUCUAGAUUUGAUCUCUCUGAAAGGCAAACGAUCACUAACUUCACAUCCACACCUGUGUAUUGCAUGGAUAUAGACACUGAAGAGAACAGACUGUACUGGAUUAAUUAUGAUGGUGACAUGAAAUCAUGUAAAGACGAUGGCUCCGAUAUUAAAACAAUACUUUCAACAAACAUACGUAGAAGCUACGUAUCUAUCAGGGUCGUCGGUAAUUACAUAUAUUAUGGUAAUGCACAUCAGUUGUUAAUGGUAAAACAAAUCACAGGGAUCAAAGCCGACUGUUCUACAUAACGAUACCAGCAGAAUUGACAGUAUAUUUGAUUUUAAUUCAACAGGUAUAUUAAUGACCAUUUAUAAUCAUUUGUAAUAAUAACCUUGACUUGAUUUAACAGUUCUCUACAAUACCGUCUUUAGUUAUAAUACACCAAAGCUUAGACAUAUUAGAGUGGCAGAUUUUGCUAAAUUAUCCCAUGCGCUACUCGACAUUUAAACAUGGACACUAGCUAUGUCAGGGGAAGUAAUAUAUGUAAUAUAACAAACACGGAUACUAGCUAUGUCAGGGGAAGCAAUAUAUGUAAUAUAACAAACAUGGAUACUAGCUAUGGCAGGGGAAGUAAUAUAACAAACACGGAAAAAGGAUCAAUACACAAUACAGAUUUAAACUAAAAACGUUUAUUUGUUUAUGAAUUACAACAUAACAUGGAUUUUAAAUGUACAUUCUGAUUAAAGUAAAACGUGAAUAUUUGAUUUGUAUCUAUAUCCUCUCCGAAUAACACCACAUAUUUUUGUUAUCUAUAUGUUAUUACCUUAAUAUGUGUAGUACAUCACGAAUGAUUUAUUGUUUUGGUGAUGUUUAAAUAAAUUGGUAUACACUUUAUGAAUGCAACCGAACUUCACAUAAGACCAAGACAGCUAUAUGAAAUAACAAAUCCGUUUGCGCUCAGUUUGGGAUUGAAAUAGCUAUAUCACGAUUUCUUAGAAUUUGAUAAAAGUUAUCUUGCAAUAAUUUAAUCAAUGCAGGUCAUUGUAUAUGUGUAUCGACAUCUCAUUAUGUAUUAUUGUUCUACAUGUGACUAAACCGGGUUGUUUAUUUGCUAGUUGCUUCCUGUCUUUUAUAUUCAGCUGCUAACUUAGUAUAUACAUAUCUUGUUAUUCUGAUUAACCAAAUGUUCAUGUGUAGUUACAUCCUAACAGUAGCUUCAUUGCGUU
This is a long non-coding RNA of Mytilus trossulus (common blue mussel), 1331 nucleotides long. RefSeq lists it as uncharacterized. The transcript has 3 exons. Lineage: Eukaryota; Metazoa; Mollusca; Bivalvia; Mytilida; Mytilidae. The record is from RefSeq and is a predicted model, not a curated record.